UUGACCUCAAAUCGGGUGAGACUACCCGCUGAACUUAAGCAUAUA
This 45-nucleotide ribosomal RNA is filed under the name Lactarius evosmus. RNAcentral's name for it is "partial 25S ribosomal RNA". Lineage: Eukaryota; Fungi; Basidiomycota; Agaricomycetes; Russulales; Russulaceae. The record is from RNAcentral.